AUACGGAGGAUGCGAGCGUUAUCCGGAUUUAUUGGGUUUAAAGGGUGCGUAGGCUGUGCGUUAAGUCAGGGGUGAAAUGCCGUCGCUCAACGACGGAGCUGCCCUUGAUACUGGCGUGCUGGAGUACGGAUGCCGUUGGAGGAAUGAGUGGUGUAGCGGUGAAAUGCUUAGAUAUCGCUCAGAACACCGAUUGCGAAGGCAUCUGACGAAUCCGUCACUGACGCUGAGGCACGAAAGCGUGGGGAUAGAACAGGAUUAGAUACCCUGGUAUUCCACGCCGUAAACGAUGAUGACUAACCGUCGGCGAUAGACAGCCGGUGGCCAAGCGAAAGCGAUAAGUCAUCCACCUGGGGAGUACGUCGGCAACGAUGAAACUCAAAGGAAUUGACGGGG
RNAcentral lists this ribosomal RNA (393 nucleotides) under uncultured bacterium. RNAcentral's name for it is "partial 16S ribosomal RNA". It matches the Rfam family "Bacterial small subunit ribosomal RNA", at positions 523 to 918 of the family's 1533-position model. The record is from RNAcentral.